Molecule: ribosomal RNA, 468 nt
Filed under: uncultured bacterium
Lineage: Bacteria
Description: partial 16S ribosomal RNA
Rfam family: Bacterial small subunit ribosomal RNA
Source: RNAcentral
GACGACCGCUGGCGGCGUGCUUAACACAUGCAAGUCGAACGGAAAGGCCCUGCUUUUGUGGGGUGCUCGAGUGGCGAACGGGUGAGUAACACGUGAGUAACCUGCCCUUGACUUUGGGAUAACUUCAGGAAACUGGGGCUAAUACCGGAUAGGAGCUCCUGCUGCAUGGUGGGGGUUGGAAAGUUUCGGCGGUUGGGGAUGGACUCGCGGCUUAUCAGCUUGUUGGUGGGGUAGUGGCUUACCAAGGGUUUGACGGGUAGACGGCAUGAGAGGGUGACCGGCCACAUUGGGACUGAGAUACGGCCCAGACUCCUACGGGAGGCAGCAGUGGAGAAUAUUGCACAAUAGGCGGAAGCCUGAUGCAGCAACGCCGCGUGCGGGAUGACGGCCUUCGGGUUGUAAACCGCUUUCGCCUGUGACGAAGCGUGAUUGACGGUAAUUAAUAAAGAAGCACCGGCUAACUACGUG